AACCAACAGGGAUUGCCUUAGUAGCGGCGAGUGAAGCGGCAAAAGCUCAAAUUUGAAAUCUGGCACUUUCAGUGUCCGAGUUGUAAUUUGAAGAAGGUAUCUUUGGGUCUGGCUCUUGUCUAUGUUUCUUGGAACAGAACGUCACAGAGGGUGAGAAUCCCGUGCGAUGAGAUGUCCCAGACCUAUGUAAAGUUCCUUCGAAGAGUCGAGUUGUUUGGGAAUGCAGCUCUAAGUGGGUGGUAAAUUCCAUCUAAAGCUAAAUAUUGGCGAGAGACCGAUAGCGAACAAGUACAGUGAUGGAAAGAUGAAAAGAACUUUGAAAAGAGAGUGAAAAAGUACGUGAAAUUGUUGAAAGGGAAGGGCUUGAGAUCAGACUUGGUAUUUUGUAUGUUACUCUCUCGGGGGUGGCCUCUACAGUUUACCGGGCCAGCAUCAGUUUGGGCGGUAGGACAAUUGCAAAGAAAUGUGGCACUGCCUCGGUAGUGUGUUAUAGUCUUUGUCGAUACUGCCAGCCUAGACUGAGGACUGCGGCUUCGGCCUAGGAUGUUGGCAUAAUGAUCUUAAGUCGCCC
Molecule: ribosomal RNA, 571 nt
Filed under: Lodderomyces orthopsilosis
Lineage: Eukaryota; Fungi; Ascomycota; Pichiomycetes; Serinales; Debaryomycetaceae
Description: Candida orthopsilosis partial large subunit ribosomal RNA
Rfam family: Eukaryotic large subunit ribosomal RNA
Source: RNAcentral